CACUGAAAAUAGCCACCUUAAAAAGCCAGCCUCCUUUGCUUCUAAUCUCAAUUCCAAUGGCGCAAGUCAUUUAACUGUGUUUCCUAACAAUUUGCAUAAUGGACCUGAAAGAUUAUAUGUUGGUGUUUCUUGUUUAAGUCCUUGGCAGUGGUGUGGGCAACAAUUGGAUAUGGAAACUUCUUGUUAUUUGCAUCCUUUACGACAUGC
This 207-nucleotide unclassified non-coding RNA is filed under the name Hevea brasiliensis (rubber tree). Lineage: Eukaryota; Viridiplantae; Streptophyta; Magnoliopsida; Malpighiales; Euphorbiaceae. The record is from RNAcentral.